Molecule: long non-coding RNA, 2197 nt
Organism: Phymastichus coffea
Lineage: Eukaryota; Metazoa; Arthropoda; Insecta; Hymenoptera; Eulophidae
Exons: 9
Source: RefSeq, a predicted model, not a curated record
ACUUAUUUAUCAAAACUUUAAUGUUAUUUUUUAUUAAUAUUAAAUACAUAAGAAAAUAAAAAAAGCAAAAGGAUUACAGUAAACAGAAGUAGAAAAGCAGAAUGCGAAACAACAAAAAUACUAAACCAAUAGUAUGUGCAGUUUAUGUUUUAUUUUGAAUUAUUAUUCGGUGAAUUAUUCAGUGAAAAUUAUAACGGCUCAUAAAGUGCGAAGGCAUAUUAUAAAUUUUUAAUUGCAGCAACAAUGAAUAAUCACACUUAUAACCUAGGAAGAUUUGAUCUUGAUGUUGAAACGCCUAGGACAACAAGAUAUAAUAGGCAUAGAAGACGGGAAAGAGACGCUUCUUCAUCAGAUUCAAGUAUUGAAAAUCAGAGGUGGCGAGACAACUAUGCUUAAGUUGCAGAAGUUUUGCAUGAAAUUGAUAACACUUCUGUCAGUGAUGAAUCUACUACAUCUCAGUCAUUACCAGGAUCUUCUGUAGCAAUACCUGUUUUGUCGCCAAGAAAUGAAUCAGAAUCUAGUUUGUCGCCUGCUCUUCAAGUAAUCUCUGCUUCUCCUGAAUCAACUGAUAAUGAUGAAACUGGAAAUGUACCUCCCUCAGUAUCAGAUGCACUAUCAUAUAUGAAUGAUAAGCCAAAACUCCAUCUACAUCAAAUACUACCAAGAACAAAAAAGCUUCCACUUUUCAAAAUGCUGAAACUCCACCUUCUACCUAUAGUGAUAAAAAUUUGAAAACUCCUUCGUCAGUACAGUAUUCUAAAAAACAUCCUAUUCAACCAUGCAACAUUUUUUUAAAUAAUAUAAUGGAUGGAUCUUCUUCUGAAGUCAAUUAUAGAAACAUCAGAAGACCAAUUAGGCAGUUACAGCAUCUAUCUCCAGAUAUAUCUAAAAUGAAACACUCUAUAUCUAUAUAUUCAUGUGGUAAAAGAAGUUUACACACACAAAUUACGCCAUCGACAAGCAGAGCUUCUACUGACCAUGAACAUGUAACACCUAUAGCAUCAACAAGUAGAGUUGAAAAAGAACGUACAAAUUUUGAAAGCAAAAGUGAAAGAAAAAAAAAAUUAACCAACGAUCAAGAUGAAAUUAUUUUGAAAAAAAAAAGAAAUUGACUUUUAAAGAAAGAGCUAUUGUCGAAAAAAAAAGAAAUAAAAGAAACGAAAAAAGUGAAAGGAAAGAAACAAAUGAAGCCGUAAACAAAAAAUCAUUGAAGAAGAUUAAACAAAAAAAAGAAAUACUAAAGAAAAUUAAAAUCUGUGCUCUACGAUAGUGACGAUUACAUGCAAUCAGACUGUGACUUAAAGACCAAGGUUAACCGCUUGGACCCAAGAACAAAGAGAUGAUAAGCCAGCGAAAAAAAUGUUUCAUUUACAUUUUGGAGUUUCUGUGCCUGAUAAGGCUUGGAAAAAAGCCAAACGGGCCAAAACCGACUAUACUAUAAGUUUAUGAGGGAACUGAUACCUUAUCUCUGGGAACCCGAAGAAUUCAUUCUUUUAGCUAUACAAGUUAAGCGCACACAGAAUACCGAUAACCGGAUUUCUGUUGAUCUUAAAAAAUUUGAGGCAUUAAAACGUGGAUAAAUUCAAUUUCUAAUGGAGCAUGGAAGAAUUCGGAAUGAUAUGACUACUAAACAAAAGCUGGGAGAAAUACAGAAAUUCGGAAGAAAACUGGGAAUUCUCAUUGCGCAGGACAGACAAGCUUAUUUGAAUAAUUCUGAGGAAUUUCGUAAAGCAAAGUAUUGUGAUAAAAUUCUAACUGAGGCUGAUGAAGAUGAAGACGAAGGAGAGGAUGAUGAUUUUGAGACAUAUGAUGAAGAUGAGGAUGAAGGUGAUACUUUUGAAAGAGAUGAAGAUCAAUAUGCUUUUAAUAGAGUCGAAGAAGAUGAAGAUGAAUACCCGAUAGGAGAUGAUGAUUUUGAGAAUGAAACAGGUUUAUCUGAGGGGGAUCAAUGAAUCGUAAAUUAAAACCGUUCUAUUACCAUUUUUUUAUGUUCAAGAUGUUAAGAUGUUCCUAUUACUAUUUUAAGAAGUUUAAAAAUUACCAUAUUUAUUUUAGUGUUUUACUUUUUGUACUAUAAUUGCUUUUAAAGUUUAAUAAUAAUUUAAAAAAUAUUAUUUUACGAUGUAGGAAUGAUGAUUAUGAAUAUAUUUUUUUUAAAGUGUAAAAUUAUUGAUACCAUACACUUUCAAGUAUACUA